Olea europaea var. sylvestris is the source of this 568-nucleotide long non-coding RNA. RefSeq lists it as uncharacterized. The transcript has 2 exons. The record is from RefSeq and is a predicted model, not a curated record. Lineage: Eukaryota; Viridiplantae; Streptophyta; Magnoliopsida; Lamiales; Oleaceae.
GUUUAUGCAAGAAGCCUGUACCAAAGGGACCGAACAAGUAGAGGAGGCGCUUAUUGUGAGAGAGGAGAGGAAAAUUUUCGUAAAUGCCAACAGAUAUGGUUGUAAUCCCAGUUUGUUAUUUUGGUGAUUUUAAAUUGGAUGAAAAUGAUCGAUGGAUAUAAAAAUGGACGAAUAAUGUACGUGGUGGUAUUCCGAUUUCCAUAGCAAGUAAUACAUCAUACGUGGAAAUGUACCAUAAUUUAGAAAGCAAGCUGAAUGUCGAUGUCUCUAAGCAUAAGAUGGAACUAAGAUUUCAAUUCAAGGAGCAUUCAUCCUUUUCGAUUCCACCUAUGAAGGUUACUUCUAAUUCUGAAGUGAAUUGUCUAUUUGAAUUGAAUAAAACGCACACGACUCCUCUUUGCGUGACUUUAGUGAAGAAGGAUGUGAUAAAAUUCGAUACGGGUAAGUUCUAAAUUAAAUCGACCCAAUUCAGUUGUUGAAACCAAAUCGAACUGUUGUCAAUUUUAUAUUCUGCAAGUAUAUGGAUCGUUAUUGGUAAUAAAGUGGACCUAAAAGUUCGGAUAUUAUU